Long non-coding RNA from Bos taurus (domestic cattle), 1857 nucleotides. Lineage: Eukaryota; Metazoa; Chordata; Mammalia; Artiodactyla; Bovidae. The record is from Ensembl.
GGUGGCCAGGGAGGGCUCUGUAUUUCUGAGUUUGUGCCUGGGAUGUCCACGUGGGAGUGAGCUUGUGAUCUUGACCUAGUGUGUGUCUCUCAUCUCUGUGUAUUGUUGGAGCGGGAUAGAUGCAUUUAUGGGUGUGACAGUGUGCCCUUGAUGACAUUUACGACCUUGUGAACACAAGGCCAGGGUCCUUCCUAGGGAAGGACCUAUGCGAGUGCGAAGCCUUGACUGACACAUAGACCUCAUGGAGCUUGGAGUCAGCUCCCGUCCAGUUCAAGCUGGCUAGGACUGGAUCAGACCACUCACCCUAAAACUGGGCCUGCACAGAAGUCAGAUGAAUGACCUUUGGACAACAAAGGCCAAAAACUCCACCCUCAGAUCCUACUGCUGCUGCUGCUGCUAAGUCACUUCAGUCGUGUCCGACUCUGUGUGACCCCAUAGACGGCAGCCCACCAGGCUCCCCCGUCCCUGGGAUUCUCCAGGCAAGAACACGAGUGGGUUGCCAUUUCCUUCUCCAGUGCAUAAAAGUGAAAAGUGAAAGGGAAGUCGCUGAGUCGUGUCUGACUCCUAGUGACCCCAUGGACUUCAGCCUACCAGGCUCCUCCGUCCAUGGGAUUUUCCAGGCAAGAGUACUGGAGUGGGGUCCCAUUGCCUUCUCCCCAGAUCAUGCUAAGCACCUCCAUUGUUGAGCAUACAUCCUAGAAAGAAGCCAUGUCACUCAGAUGCACCUGCACAGAACCCCAAUUACCUCACCUUUUCUCCACCUCCAACCACCUUUCCCAAUGCUGAGACUCUGCUUCUUUAUCCCAUAAACAUCCCCAGCCCUUCACCUUCAGGGAGGCAGAUCUGAGAUUUCUUCUCCUGUCUCCUCACUUGGCUGCCUUGUUAAUAAACCCUUUCUCUGCUGCAAAUAGUGGCAGAUUUUGUAAUUUUUGAGCUCCAGAAUCACUACGGAUGGUGACUGUGCCAUGAAAUUAACAGACCUUGCUCCUUGGAAGAAAAGCUAUGACAAACAGCAUAUUAAAAAGCAGAGACAUUACUUUGCUGACAAAGGUCCAUCAAAGCUAUGGUUUUUCCAGUAGUCAUGUAUGGAUGUGAGGGUUGGACCAUAAAGAAGGCUGAGUACCAAAGAAUUGAUGCUUUCGAACUGUGGUGCUGGAAAAGACUCUUGAGAGUCCCUUGGACUGCAAGGAGAUCAAACCAGUCAAUCCUAAAGGAAAUCAACCCUGAAUAUUCAUUGGAAGGACUGAUGCUGAAGAUGAAACUCCAAUACUUUGGCCACCUGAUGCAAAGGACUGACUCACUGGAAAAGACCCUGAUUCUGGGAAAGACUGAGGGCAGGAGGAGAAGGGGAUGACAGGGAAUGAGAUGAUUGGAUGGCAUCACCGACUCAAUGGACCAGUUUGAGCAAACUCCAGGAGAUAGUGAAGGACAGGGAAACCUGAUGUGCUGCAGUCCAUGGGGUUGCAAGGAUUCAGACAUGACUUAGCAACUCAACAGCAAUAACUGCUGCAAACUUCUGCAUCUCAGCAUCUGACAUGCUGCAUGUCAAGCAGAUGAACCUGGUUCAGUAGCACUAAGUCUGCCUGCCCAGGUUUCAGGCUGUCUUUGCUCAGCCUCAGUACUGGACAGUCAGGGCUGAACCAUCCUUCCCCCCGCCGACUCACAUCUCCCUCCAGUCUCAUUCUGGAUUCUGUAUCCACUCAGCACAGCCAGGAUGGUGAAGAGAGGCUCAAAGUGGUCCCAGGGGCCAUGGGAGUGGGACAGCAAGGAAGAGGGGCCCUUUUGGAGCCCAUGCUGAAUAAGGGGAAAGACUGGACUUUUGUCUGUUUGCUCACUGCUUAUCCUCUGUCUUAGCAC